GGUGUCAGCCGCCGCGGUAAAACGUAGGAGGCGAGCGUUAUCCGGAUUUACUGGGCGUAAAGCGCGUGCAGGCGGUCAGUUAAGUUAGGCGUGAAAUCUCUCGGCUUAACCGGGAGGGGUCGUUUAAUACUGGCUGACUUGAGGGUAGGAGAGGGAAGCGGAAUUCCCGGUGUAGCGGUAAUAUGCGCAGAUAUCGGGAGGAACACCAGUGGCGAAGGCGGCUUUCUGGCCUGCUCCUGACGCUAAGACGCGAAAGCUAGGGUAGCGAACGGGAUUAGAUACCCCGGUAGUCCUAGCUGUAAACGAUGGAUACUAGGUGUGGCUGGUAUUGACCCCAGCUGUGCCGAAGCUAACGCGUUAAGUAUCCCGCCUGGGGACUACGACCGCAAGGUUAAAACUCAAAGGAAUUGACGGGGGCCCGCACAAGG
Molecule: ribosomal RNA, 428 nt
Filed under: uncultured bacterium
Lineage: Bacteria
Description: bacterial SSU rRNA
Rfam family: Bacterial small subunit ribosomal RNA
Source: RNAcentral